This 492-nucleotide ribosomal RNA is filed under the name uncultured bacterium. RNAcentral's name for it is "partial 16S ribosomal RNA". It matches the Rfam family "Bacterial small subunit ribosomal RNA", at positions 29 to 507 of the family's 1533-position model. The record is from RNAcentral.
AGUGAACGCUGGCGGUAGGCCUAACACAUGCAAGUCGAACGGCAGCACAGUAAGAGCUUGCUCUUACGGGUGGCGAGUGGCGGACGGGUGAGGAAUACAUCGGAAUCUACUUUUUCGUGGGGGAUAACGUAGGGAAACUUACGCUAAUACCGCAUACGACCUACGGGUGAAAGCAGGGGAUCUUCGGACCUUGCGCGAUUGAAUGAGCCGAUGUCGGAUUAGCUAGUUGGCGGGGUAAAGGCCCACCAAGGCGACGAUCCGUAGCUGGUCUGAGAGGAUGAUCAGACACACUGGAAAUGAGACACGGUGCAGACACCUACGGGAGGCAGCAGUGGGGAAUAUUGGACCAUGGGCGCAAGCCUGAUCCAGCCAUACCGCGUGGGUGAAGAAGGCCUUCGGGUUGUAAAGCCCCUUUGUUGGGAAAGAAAAGCAGCAGGUUAAUACCCCGCUGUUCUGACGGUACCCAAAGAAUAAGCACCGGCUAACUUCGUG